UACGUAGGGUGCAAGCGUUAAUCGGAAUUACUGGGCGUAAAGCGUGCGCAGGCGGUUAUGCAAGACAGAUGUGAAAUCCCCGGGCUUAACCUAGGAACUGCAUUUGUGACUGCAUAGCUGGAGUACGGUAGAGGGGGAUGGAAUUCCGCGUGUAGCAGUGAAAUGCGUAGAUAUGCGGAGGAACACCGAUGGCGAAGGCAGUCCCCUGGACCUGUACUGACGCUCAUGCACGAAAGCGUGGGGAGCAAACAGG
This 253-nucleotide ribosomal RNA is filed under the name uncultured bacterium. RNAcentral's name for it is "partial 16S ribosomal RNA". It matches the Rfam family "Bacterial small subunit ribosomal RNA", at positions 524 to 776 of the family's 1533-position model. The record is from RNAcentral.